UACGGAGGGAGCUAGCGUUGUUCGGAAUUACUGGGCGUAAAGCGCACGUAGGCGGCUUUGUAAGUUAGAGGUGAAAGCCCGGGGCUCAACUCCGGAACUGCCUUUAAGACUGCAUCGCUUGAACCCAGGAGAGGUGAGUGGAAUUCCGAGUGUAGAGGUGAAAUUCGUAGAUAUUCGGAAGAACACCAGUGGCGAAGGCGGCUCACUGGACUGGUAUUGACGCUGAGGUGCGAAAGCGUGGGGAGCGAACAGG
RNAcentral lists this ribosomal RNA (253 nucleotides) under uncultured bacterium. RNAcentral describes it as "partial 16S ribosomal RNA". It matches the Rfam family "Bacterial small subunit ribosomal RNA", at positions 524 to 776 of the family's 1533-position model. The record is from RNAcentral.